AUGCAGUUGACGAGCUCCAAAUAGGACGAAACGUGAGUCCUGUAU
Molecule: non-coding RNA, 45 nt
Filed under: Schistosoma margrebowiei
Lineage: Eukaryota; Metazoa; Platyhelminthes; Trematoda; Strigeidida; Schistosomatidae
Source: RNAcentral